AUGGCUGCUACUGCUGCACUAGUCUUUGCAGGGAAGUCGGUUGCAACCCCAGCCAUCUCAUUCAUCCUGAACAAGGCAUUCGGUUAUCUCAGUGAGUGGUACAAGCCUAACGAUCUAGAGGAGCUCAAGAAUAAUCUGUCAGAAAAGCUCACGGACAUCCAAGCGGUGUACGAUGUUGUUGAUCAUCAGGAGAUCAGUGAGGAGAGCAAUGGACUAGCUGAGUGGCUCUGGCGAUUCCGCGAUGCAGUCGAGGAAGCUGAGGAUGCACUUGAUGAGAUGGACUACCACAAGCUUAAAGAAGAGGCAGAAGCCCACAGCCUAGGACAGGUGCGUAAUCCGUUCACAAAGUUUUUCAAAGAACAGAUUGUUGGCAAGGCUGCAAGGAUGACUCCUGAGGGAAACAUGGUAGAGAAGCUGAGGGAGGCCAUAGAGAAGUUAGAAACUGUUGCUAAAGAUGUGGGUGGUUUCCUUCAGCUUUUAUGCCGUGUUGAUAAUCUUGUCCUGCAAGAUCGCGCUGAAAGAAGUGUAUACCAGACUAGCUCCACUUUGGUGCCUAUUGAGAUAUUUGGUCGUGACAGUGAGAAGAACCAGGUGAUAAGGUGGUUGACUGAUAAUGUAUAUGAUGAUCCAGAUACUGUUAUUCAGGUACCGGUUUUUGCAAUAAUCAGAAUUGGAGAAAGACAACCCUUGCUCAGAUUGUGUGCGAAGAAUUGA
RNAcentral lists this ribosomal RNA (714 nucleotides) under Triticum aestivum (bread wheat). Its description in RNAcentral is "partial small subunit ribosomal RNA". Lineage: Eukaryota; Viridiplantae; Streptophyta; Magnoliopsida; Poales; Poaceae. The record is from RNAcentral.